UACCCACAUUUGUGUUACUUGGAUAACUGUGGUAAUUCUAGAGCUAAUACAUGCCGACGAGUUCCGACCAGCGCCGGGUGUAUUAGGCUUCGCGCCGACCCUGGUGUUCGGAAGGAACGCUCUUAUUAGAUCAAAACCGGCCAAACAGUGUAGCGAACGCGUUUUCGAACGCGUUCGCGCUGUAAGCGGCCCGCGCAAAGACUUGACGACUCUGAAUAAUUUCGAGCUGAUCGCACGGUCUUGGUACCGGCGACGUAUCUUUCAAAUGUCUGCCUUAUCAACUGUCGACGGUAGGUUCGAUGCCUACCGUGGUGGUAACGGGUAACGGGGAAUCAGGGUUCGAUUCCGGAGAGGGAGCCUGAGAAACGGCUACCACAUCCAGGAAGGCAGCAGGCGCGCAAAUUACCCACUCCCAGCUCGGGGAGGUAGUGACGAAAAAUAACGAUGCGGGACUCUUAUGAGGCUUCCGUAAUCGGAAUGAGUACACUUUAAAACCUU
RNAcentral lists this ribosomal RNA (498 nucleotides) under Dactylopius opuntiae. Its description in RNAcentral is "SSU rRNA". It matches the Rfam family "Eukaryotic small subunit ribosomal RNA", at positions 125 to 534 of the family's 1831-position model. The record is from RNAcentral. Lineage: Eukaryota; Metazoa; Arthropoda; Insecta; Hemiptera; Dactylopiidae.